CCUGAAGCAGGCCACUUGGCCUGUCUCCCUAAAUGAGAGUCCGUAUAAUAAAUAUAAGUGGCAUCCGAACGAGAGCGGGCAGGGGCCACGUGAUCGCUCCACGAAAGCCACUUG
Molecule: non-coding RNA, 114 nt
Organism: Oryctolagus cuniculus (rabbit)
Lineage: Eukaryota; Metazoa; Chordata; Mammalia; Lagomorpha; Leporidae
Source: Rfam